RNAcentral lists this long non-coding RNA (1182 nucleotides) under Mytilus galloprovincialis (Mediterranean mussel). Lineage: Eukaryota; Metazoa; Mollusca; Bivalvia; Mytilida; Mytilidae. The record is from RNAcentral.
GGUCGUUAGUGAUAUCGCUAUUCUCGGGUUUUAUCCUUAUUCGGCGAUAAAUACCGAAAAAUUCGAAGCAAUUGUUUGGCUGCCGUAUUGUUUAUUUUUCUAUAUGGACAAACAGUAAAAGGUAAGUAGUUUGUGAUUAGUUUUAACGAUUUUGUGACUUUCUUUCAAAUUCACUUUAUAGGGGAAAUGUGCACAGAAAGAGGUCACUUUUCAGGACCUGUACCGUCGCCUAAAGUGCCAAUUGUUAAGCCAAAACGACGUGUACGGCAAGAUUCAAGAUUUAUAAAUUAUAUUUUGGAGUUCGAGUUUAAAUGAUCGAGUGACAAGUAACGCAUAAUUUGUGCAUUCUAUGUUGCAAUGAUAAAAAAAACAAUACAUGUGAGAGGAGAAAUACAAUGUAGCUAUUUGAAUAAACAUUUAACAUGUUUAUCUAAUAGAAAUCAAAUUUAUAAAACAUUUUUCUUUUUCAAUUUCAGUUUUAAAUCUAGCCAACACGGCAACAGAUUUCUACAGGCCAUGGGGAUAAAAAUACCACAGAACUGUUGCAUCAGCUCUGAUAGUACCAGCUUUCUUCUGAUGAACUACCCAGUUUUAACCAGGCAAUAGCAAUGGGAGCAAUGGCAGAGAUAAUCUAUAGAUGACAUUUUACAUUGCCAAAAAAAAAAAACAUUAUGACAUUCUUUCAAAUCUUGAUGAAGCUAAUUCAGUCAAAUAUCAAUUCCUACUGUGAGAGAGCCUUUUCAAUUAUAAAGAAAUUAACACUGAAUUCUGAUCCGAACUUGACUAUGUUACAUUUGUAUUGUGUGCUGUUAUCAAAUAAAUGUAACUAAAAUUGAAACUGGCAGUUGUUUUGAAUAUGUGCCUAGUGGUGGUGCUUUAAAAGCAACAUAACAGACCACUGUUUAAUACAAUAAAAGUUCAAAGUAGAAUAUAUAUUGUUUUUUUGUAUUCACAAAUUUGUAUGAAAUUAUGAACAUUACCACAUUCAUAUUAACAAGUCCGCAUCUACGUCACGCGUUUUCACACGCUUUUUGACAUAUCAUGUCAUGUCAUGACAUGAUUUCCCAUUGUCAGAGGUUGACAUGUAUGUAUAAACAGCAACAUGGACAACCUCCCAGGAACGUCAGAUGAUGGAGUUCCCCAUAUUCCUAGCAGGUAAUAUACACAAACACGAUACACAAA